RNAcentral lists this long non-coding RNA (1233 nucleotides) under Pogona vitticeps (central bearded dragon). RNAcentral describes it as "lncRNA (ENSPVIG00000016695.1)". The record is from RNAcentral. Lineage: Eukaryota; Metazoa; Chordata; Lepidosauria; Squamata; Agamidae.
UAACAUAUAACAGUAAAGGGGAAGGCAAAAUAAAGGAGAGGGGGAAAACGGGAAGAAAAGUCCUGUUACUAUAAGUUCUUUUUCUGACAGGGGGCUGCAUGAAGAGACUCACAAUGCAAUGUUUUUGUACCCUUUCUCCAUGUUGCUGGAGGUGGGCAAGGAAAGCACCGGAGAUUUCAGCUUCUGUGUGAUGUCCCCUACAUUGCUUCCACUGCCAUCAGUCACUGGCUUUCCUGUCUCCUGGGAGAAGGGUACUACUGGCUCAUCGCUUAAAACUGGAAAAGCAACCUGCCAAAAUAAUUUUUAGGCACCAAUGUGAAUGAACUUGUCCUGCCUACUGAGUAGCAGCAAGGAGAACAGAAGCAUAUAGAGGGAAUUUUGAUUCCCACAAUCUUGACAUUUUUGGACUGGAGCAACACUGCUGCGACGUGCUGACAAGCUACUUCCAACUUCUGGUCACCUUAUGAGUUAGAGACCUCCAAAAGGCCUGUCAUUAACAUUCCUGCUCAGGUCUUGCAAACCUGGGCUGUGGCUUUCUUUGCUCUUCUUCUUUUCCAGCUUCCUUCAGCUUUUCCUAACAUUGUUGUCUUUUCCAAUUAGCAACAUUAAGUAAGUGAAAGAUUGCUAGAUCUGAGGAAUGAAAUGCAAUUUCCUUAUAAAGCUUAGAGAUUGAGAAAUUUAGGGUGGGACUGUCUAAAGCCAAAAGCCUUCCGCUACCUGUUCUUUUAACUGAAAACUAGUUUUUGUUGUUUCUUUCUGUUGUUUCUUUCUCCCAGAACUUGAAACUGGGAAAACUUGCCCAACAGUUCAUUUGGGUUAAAGUUGAAGUCAGUACUGUUUUGCCUUCAGAGAAGAAAUAUAAGUCGUUUCCUUGUUCCAAAUUGGUAAUUUACUUCAGAAGUCAGAAUAAGCAUCAGAGCUUGACUAGCUCAGCACCUCAAGCUAAUUUCUCAGUUGCUUGAAGGAAUUGUUACCCCAUGUCUUGUGUUCUCUGAAUGGUUCCCCUUAAAAUAUGUCCCUCAGGUGGAUUGUACCUUGCAUUCUGAUUUUUAAAACUCCAGAAAUUUCCAAGGUGUUUGCCUGCAAGAACAAAGAGUUUUAUGUUACAUUAAAAACAAAUAGAGCCUAUUUCUCAUAAGUUUUUGUGAGCUGCAGUUUCUUCUGAUACAUGAUGCAUUUGAUGAUGGGGGGGUGCAUGCAGUCCAUGAAAUAAAAUUCAUUCAUUCAUCGGCA